Molecule: long non-coding RNA, 2604 nt
Filed under: Prunus persica (peach)
Lineage: Eukaryota; Viridiplantae; Streptophyta; Magnoliopsida; Rosales; Rosaceae
Description: long non-coding RNA (PPER_LNC005283)
Source: RNAcentral
AGGAGUCAUUCGGUGUCUUUUGGGUGAAAUCGAAUGGCUAAAGCUAUGCAAUACACCAACCACUCCAUUCAGAACGAACAUCUGACGAAACUGAAUUGUCCAAUUUCAUGGACCAAUCGAUAUCGGAUUGUGGCCAAACCUUGGGGAACAUCAUAAUACGGUGGGAGGGGUCAUUUGGUGUCUUUUGACAGAAAUCCAGUGGCUAAAACUAUGCAAUACUCCAACACUCCAUUUCAGAACGAACUUCGUACGAACCUGAAUUGUCCAAUUUCAUGGACCAAUAGAUAUCGGAUUGAGUCUAAAACUUGUAGAACAUCAUAAUACGGUGGGAGGAGUCGUUUGGUGGGUUUUGAGUGAAAUCCAAUCUCUACAACUAUGCAAUACACCAACCACUCUAUUUCAUAAUGAACUUCGUACGAACCUGAAUUGUAGAAUUUCAUGGACCAAUCGAUAUCGAAUGGAUUCCAAACCUUGGGGAACAUCAUAAUACGGUCGGAAGAGUCAUUUGGUGGGUUUUGAGUGAAAUCCAAUCUCUACAACGAUGCAAUACACCAACCACUCAAUUUCAGGACGAACUUCGUACAAACCUGAAUUGUCCAAUUUCAUGGACCAAUCGAUAUCGGAUUGAGUCCGAAACUUGGGGAACGUUCUAAUAUGGUGGGAGUAGUCAUUUGGUGUCUUUCGAGUGAAAUCCAAUGGCUAAAACUAUGAAAUACACCAACCACUCCAUUUCAGAACGAAAUUCGUACGGACCUGAAUUGUCCAAUUUCAUGGACAAAUCGAUAUCGGAUUGAGUCCUAACCUUGCGGAAUAUCAUAAUACGGUGGGAGGAGUCAUUUGGUGUCUUUUGAGAGCAAUCGAAUGGCUAAAACUAUGCAAUACUCCAACCACUCCAUUUCAGAACGAACUUCGUACGAACCUGAAUUGUCCAAUUUCAUGGACCAAUCGAUAUCGGAUUGAGUCUAAAACUUGGGGAACAUCAUAAUACGGUGGGAGGAGUCGUUUGGUGGGUUUUGAGUGAAAUCCAAUCUCUACAACUAUGCAAUACACCGACCACUCCAUUUCAUAACGAACUUCGUACGAACCUGAAUUGUCGAAUUUCAUGAACCAAUCGACAUCGGAUUGAGUCCAAAACUUGGGGAUCAUCAUAAUACGGUGGGAGGAGUCAUUUGGUGUGUUUUGAGUGAAAUCCAAUGGCUAAAACUAUGCGAUACACCAACCACUCUAUUUCAGAACGAACUUCGUACGAACCUGAAUUGUCCAAAGUCAUGGACCAAUCGAUAUCGGGUUGAGUCCAAAACUUGGGGAACAUCAUAAUACGGUGGGAGGAGACAUUUGGUGUCUUCUGAGUGCAAUCGAAUGGCUAAAACUAUGCAAUACUCCAACCACUUCAUUUCAGAACGAACUUCGUACGAACCUGAAUUGUCCAAUUUCACGGACCAAUCGAUAUCGGAUUGAGUCCAACACUUGGGGAACAUCAUAAUACGGUGGGAGGAGUCAUUUGGUGGGUUUUGAGUGAAUCCAAUCGCUACAACUAUGCAAUACACCAACCACUCCAUUUCAUAACGAACUUCGUACGAACCUGAAUUGUCGAAUUUUAUGAACCAAUCGACAUCGGAUUGAGUCCAAAACUUGGGGAUCAUCAUAAUACGGUGGGAGGAGUCAUUUGGUGGGUUUUUAGUGAAAUCCAAUCUCUACAACGAUGCAAUACAAUAACCACUUCAUUUCAUAAAGAACUUCAUACGAACCUGAAUUGUUCAAUUUCAUGGAGCAAUCGAUAUCGGAUUGAGUCCAAAACUUGGGGAACGUCCUAAUACGGUGUGAGGAGUCAUUCGGUGUCUUUUGGGUGAAAUCGAAUGGCUAAAGCUAUGCAAUACACCAACCACUCCAUUCAGAACGAACAUCUGACGAAACUGAAUUGUCCAAUUUCAUGGACUAAUCGAUAUCGGAUUGUGGCCAAACCUUGGGGAACAUCAUAAUACGAGGGGAGGGGUCAUUUGGUGUCUUUUGACAGAAAUCCAGUGGCUAAAACUAUGCAAUACUCCAACCACUCCAUUUCAGAACGAACUUCGUACGAACCUGAAUUGUCCAAUUUCAUGGACCAAUCGAUAUCGGAUUGAGUCUAAAACUUGGGGAACAUCAUAAUACGGUGGGAGGAGUCGUUUGGUGGGUUUUGAGUGAAAUCCAAUCUCUACAACUAUGCAACACACCAACCACUCCAUUUCAUAAUGAACUUAGUACGAACCUGAAUUGUAGAAUUUCAUGGACCAAUCGAUAUCGGAUGGAUUCCAAACCUUGGGGAACAUCAUAAUACGGUGGGAGGAGUCAUUUGGUGGGUUUUGAGUGAAAUCCAAUAUCUACAACUACGCAAUACACCGACCACGCUUUUCAUAAUAACUUCGUACGAACCUGAAUUGUCCAAUUUGAUGGACCAAUCGAUAUCGGAUUGUGUCCAAAAGUUGGGGAACAUCAUAACACGGUGGAAGGAGUCAUUUGGUGGGUUUUGAGUGAAAACCAAUCUCUACAACUAUGGAAUACAACAACUGUGCCAUUUUAGAACGAACUUCGUACGAGCCGAAAUUGUCCGAUUUCACGGACCAAUCG